GAUGAAGAACGCAGCGAAAUGCGAUACGUAAUGUGAAUUGCAGAAUUCAGUGAAUCAUCGAAUCUUUGAACGCACAUUGCGCCUGCCAGCACUCUGGCAGGCAUGCCUGUUCGAGCGUCAUUUCAACCAUCAAGCCCCAGGCUUGUGUUGGAGCCCUGCGGCUGCCGCAGCCUCCCAAAACCAGUGGCGGGCUCGCUAUCACACCGAGUGCAGUAGUUUACUCUUCGCUCAGGGCGUGUGGCGGGUGCUAGCCGUGAAACCCCCAACUUCUCAAGGUUGACCUCGGAUCAGGUAGGAAUACCCGCUGAACUUAAGCAUAUCAAUAAGCGGAGGA
This 334-nucleotide unclassified non-coding RNA is filed under the name soil metagenome. Its description in RNAcentral is "partial contains 5.8S ribosomal RNA, internal transcribed spacer 2, and large subunit ribosomal RNA". The stretch from base 1 to 120 matches the Rfam family "5.8S ribosomal RNA", at positions 35 to 154 of the family's 154-position model. The record is from RNAcentral.